Molecule: ribosomal RNA, 379 nt
Filed under: uncultured eukaryote
Lineage: Eukaryota
Description: partial 18S ribosomal RNA
Rfam family: Eukaryotic small subunit ribosomal RNA
Source: RNAcentral
CAAUAGCGUAUAUUAAAGUUGUUGCAGUUAGAACGCUCGUAGUCGGAUUUCGGGGCGGGCCGACCGGUCUGCCGAUGGGUACGCACUGGUCGGCGCGUCCUUCCUUCCGGAGACCGUGCCUACUCUUAACUGAGCGGGGGCGGGAGACGGAUCGUUUACUUUGAAAAAAUCAGAGUGUUUCAAGCAGGCAGCUCGCUCUUGCAUGGAUUAGCAUGGGAUAAUGAAAUAGGACUUUGGUGCCAUUUUGUUGGUUUCGAACACCGAAGUAAUGAUUAAAAGGGACAGUCAGGGGCACUCGUAUUCCGCCGAGAGAGGUGAAAUUCUCAGACCAGCGGAAGACGAACUACUGCGAAAGCAUUUGCCAGGGAUGUUUUCACUG